This 578-nucleotide unclassified non-coding RNA is filed under the name Hevea brasiliensis (rubber tree). Lineage: Eukaryota; Viridiplantae; Streptophyta; Magnoliopsida; Malpighiales; Euphorbiaceae. The record is from RNAcentral.
GAUACAUAUGUUACAUUGUUGAAAGGUCGUAACGCAUGGUAUGGUCAAAUGAUAGCUAAGGGAGAACUGAGUCUCGAUAUGGGUGAUAGCAUUAGUGGCAAAGGAACAAUCCAGGGAGUUUCUGCUGUCGAAGCAUUCUAUGAACUUCUAAGUCAGUCAAGUUUGAAUGUGUUACAUCCCGGAGAUAAUAAGCCGGUUGCCCCAGUUGAGCUGUGCCCUAUCCUGAAGACUUUAUACAAGAUACUCAUAAAAAGAGAACAAGGGACAAUGGCUAUUCUUCAGGCAUUGAGGGAUGAAAACUUGAACGAUCCGCGCGAUCGGAUUGAGAUUGCACAAAGUCAUGCUUUUUACAGGCCUUCACUUCUUGGACAACCUUGAUCAACAAUUUAUGCACAACAUUUUUAGUAUUUAAAGCAAUGAAUAAGUGUAUAGAGUGGUUCAAAUUGGAUGGAUUGUUUUGUGUGGUGAAGAAAACAUACAUUUCAUACUCAAAUUUGUAUUGAUGAACAUCUUGAUAUUCAUUUGAACUUAAAGCCUAUUGUAUGCUUUGUUCUUUCCAUAAGCCAUUUUAAACUUAC